This 243-nucleotide transfer RNA is filed under the name Streptomyces zagrosensis. RNAcentral describes it as "tRNA-Arg". Lineage: Bacteria; Bacillati; Actinomycetota; Actinomycetes; Kitasatosporales; Streptomycetaceae. The record is from RNAcentral.
GGGUGGGCGAGUUCGGUAUGGGUGGUGGCGCCGAGCGCGUCGGUCACGUACUCGCGCAGGACCCCGUAGCCGCCGUCGUCGACCCACAGGUCACCCGAACAGUCGAAUCCCACAUGCGUCCCACAAAACGCCUGACCAUCUGUCAGCUGAGCGCUAAGUUGCAGGUCAAACGGGGUCUGAGCUAUACGCAAUGGGCGCCUCCUAAACGCUUGUCCGCAGGUUCGAGUCCUGCCCGGGGCACCA